Molecule: small nucleolar RNA, 91 nt
Filed under: Vicugna pacos (alpaca)
Lineage: Eukaryota; Metazoa; Chordata; Mammalia; Artiodactyla; Camelidae
Description: Small nucleolar RNA U13 (ENSVPAG00000016395.1)
Rfam family: Small nucleolar RNA U13
Source: Rfam by way of RNAcentral
AUCCUUUUGUAGUUCAUGAGUGUGAUGAUUGGGUGUUUCCGCACUUGUGUGACAUGUGCCUCCUGGAGCCUUGUUACAAACUCGACUGACG